Molecule: long non-coding RNA, 366 nt
Organism: Sinocyclocheilus grahami
Lineage: Eukaryota; Metazoa; Chordata; Actinopteri; Cypriniformes; Cyprinidae
Exons: 4
Source: RefSeq, a predicted model, not a curated record
AUUCCUUCCGAAAGUUGUGCAGAGCAGUCUUAUGUCGCUGCUCGCCAUCCCGUUCAUCGCAGUGGUGGUGUUUCUGUUGGUCUGGAAGAUGAAAUCUAGAAGAAAUGCCCCACAAACUGAACGGAGUCCAGAAGAAGGUCCCGCCCUUUUCUCAGGAGAGGAAGCCAAUAUACCCCCAUUAGAUGUGGAGAUAUCUGAAAAAAAUGGAUUAAAUAUUAUCAUGGCAGUGUAAAUCCAGCCCCAGCUUAACCAACGCAGUCACUCCUUCAGAUGGCACAACGGACUGGAACAAACAAGCACCACCAACGAAAGAUUCUCUUACCGAACUUCUAGUUGUGAAGGAAGGAAUCAUACUGGCCUGAGACG